GUUUUAAUUGUAUUAAAUAAAACCGACCGUCCCUAGAGCAAGUGGCAAAGGGUUUGGUGAUUGAUACCUAAGGUUCAAAAUUCGAAUUCUAGUUGAUUCACAUUUCCAGCUAAGUUUAUUUUUGAAGAAAAUAAAUGAAGUGGGUAGCGUGUUAUCUAUCUCUAAAAAAAAAACUGCAUUAAAUAAACACGUGAUUUAAAUAUGCAUGAACAAUCCUUCAAAGGUAGAAAUUUGGUUAGGGUGGUAAUACUUGAGCAACUUAGCUUUUAUAUAUAUAAUCUUUCUUUUAUCAGUCCAUACACAUCAAAAAUAUUAUGUAGCUUUAAUUUUUUUCAUUUAUUUAUGCACAUAAGUUAAGAUAUACUAUAAUAAUACAGCAAUAAUUCUUAAAGGACCUUUCCUAUUGUACAUAAAAACAAAAGUUUUUCCUGGUCUGAAGAGUCAUCAAUUAUGUGGUGUUGUCUGUCUGCUUCUUACGUGGGAUUAAUUCCCCUGCUUGUCUGCUUCUUAUGUGGGGUUGGAGCCUGCAGGCUGCAGCUUCUUAAAUCUUACGGGAAGACAGUCUAGCUGAUGUGACUGGAAUGAAUCAAUCGUGAGUUUUCUGCCCUUUGAAGUGCUGCAAGGCCGCAGAGGUACACACAAAUGACAAAGCUCUGACAGAACCGUUUAUAAGUUAUUUGAAUUAUAAACUAUUUUUAAUUUACUAUUUAAUAUUUAAAAAUUUUAUGUUUAUUAUUUAAAAUUUCAAUUUAUUUAUUUUGAUUUUGACCACAGUAAUUUUUUUAAAAAUUUUGAAUGGAUUAUUUAGAUUUAGUUAAUAUAGUUUAUACAUUUUUCUCAACUAUCAAUUCAUUAAAGUAGUUAGCUGAUUUUGAUGCAAAUCAAAUAAAUUGAAAGGUCGAGUAGCUAGAUCAAAACGAUUUAUAAUUCAACAAGUUUUAUAUGUUUUUACCCAAAAUAUUCUCUCAAUCUACAGAUCACUUUUAACAUAUAGUAUAAAUUCAAAUUCUUAAUAAUAUUGCUUUUUUGGGUUUAAAAUCCUAAAAUUAUAACCAACCGUACUUAGGACAAAUGACACAAAGCUUGAUGAUUGAUACUCAAGGUUUCAAGUCCGAGGUAUAAUUGCUUCACAUUUUUAGCUAAAUUUAUUUUUUAAAAAAUUAAUAAUAAACAAAGCAGAUAGAAUGUUAUCUUCCAAUCUAAAGAAAAAAAAAAAAAAGGGAGGAAAGAAAUAGGAGUUGAGGAGAAAUAAAGAGAACAAAAAUGAAGAUCUAAUGAGCACAAUAUACAAAAUCGAUUAUCCAUGCAAAUGGAACUGAGGAUGAAAUGUUAUAUAUAUUGAGGUUUUAUUUGUCCUGAGUCAUAAUCCUCAACAAUGACUGAUCCUAACUAGCGCAAUUUAGCUAAAGAUUUAAUGGUUGGUACUCAAGUUUAGUUGUUUUAUAUUUUUAACUGAGUUCAUUUAUAAAAAAUAGAUAAAAUUUUAUAUAUUUUUUAUAUCACAUCUUAUACAUAUGUGAAAGUCCUUACUGUAAUAUUUGUUCCAACUACAAUUUAUAAACACCCAAUUACACAUUCCACAAAAAUAAAAUUAAAAAAAAAUAUUAUUUCAACAUAAAAUUAUCUAAUUAUCCUUAAUUAGAUCUUUGGCUUUGGCCCACAGCAUAAUGAGAUCGGUUUACAAAAGAAACGUUUUCCAUACAUACUCUCUGAUUUAUAACCACUUGUGUGCCCAUAAAUUAUUGUGACAGUGACAAAGGAGCAAAUGCUUUUUCUUUUCUUUUUUUUCUUUUUUUUUUUGGGUUUUUAGCAAUUUUGCAGUGUGGGAAAUAGCUGUGCCCAUACCUUUUGAUCUACAUUGCAUCUGCAUAAUAAUAGUAUUAUUGUUAUUAUUUCAAUUAUUAUGUAUGGUUUGGGGUCCAAGAAUGGAAGAGGAUAAGGUAUGCGGUUUUUAAUGCACCGACCUUAUUAUUAGAGGCAGUACUUUUUUUUCCAAAAAAAAAAAAAACAAAAAAAAAACAUGCAUGAACGAGAACUCGAGUUCCCAUACAUCUCAAACUCGAUCAAUCUCCGAUAACAAAUCCACUACAUUAUAUAUUGGUUACUUUUCAUUUUUGGACCACUAAAAUUAUUAAUUUUUUUUUAAAAAAAAUAGAUAGCAAGCCACCGGUUUUAUAUGUGAAAGAAAAAAAUGAAUGUAACUACAUACGGUGAGGCCACUGGAGCCCAUGCAAAAGUAAAAGACGAGGUAUAAUGAAGAAAACAAAAGGGAGAAAAAAAGAAGGUAAGAGAGAAAACUUCAAAUAUUUUUCCAUAGUUUCACAUAUUUUUACUUUAGUAUUUUGUGGUUUAAAGUGUAUCGAGUUAGUACCAUAUGGUUUCGCACUUUCUCACUUUAGUACCCUGUGAUUUAAAGUGUAUCAAGUUAGUGUUCUGUAGUUUCAUUUUUGUAUCAAGUUAGUACCCUAUGGUUUCAUUUUUUUUUUCUUAUUAUAUAUUUUGGGAUAAUUUUUUGUUAAAUCGGUGACAAAGUUAAAACUAAGGGGUGCUAAAAUGAAUAUUCGAUAAACCUAAAUAGGGUAUCUGAAGUUUUUUGGUAUAUAAUUUAACGAAAUAUUAAACCACAGGGUACUAAAGUGAGAAAAUGCGAUAAUCACAUAAUAUUAAAAUAAGAAAGUACGAAAUCAUAGGGUACUAACUUGAUACACUUUAAACAACACGGUACUAAAGUGAGAAAAUGCGAAACCACAAAUAAGUAUUUGAAGUUUUUCUUCUUUUUUUUUUUUUUAUCAUUUUAGUACUGAUAACUUUUAAACUCUAGAUUGAAAGUGCAUAAUCUGCAUGAAUCUAUACGAGUGUUAAUUACUUAAUUAACAUGCUGCUCUAGCAACUAACGACAAAUAAUAACUGAAACUGUUAGAUGAAAUGAAAUAAUUAUCAUGCAUGCGCAUGUAAUCGAAUUAAGGAUCUCUCUAUUAUCACACUCGCAUGAUGUGGAUAUAAAUAUGACACGCUACUCCCUUGCGUAGAAUACUUGUGUGUAUUAUACAGGUUUCUUGAAUUAUAUAUAUAAUAAUACUUGAUGUACGGAGCAUGUCGUUUUAAGAUAACUUUUGAUCCUCUUGAACUUUUUUAGAUAUCAUCAAAAAGCAAAGUGGAAAAAGAAAACAAAAACAAAAACAAAAGCAAAAACUUUUGUUUUGGAGUACAAACUUAGAUAAUGGUAGUGGAUUUUGUCACGUACAGCUUUCUCAUUCCGUGUGCCUAUAUAUACAACGUUACUAAAUUUUUUGUCAUGAGAUCCAUUAAUUCCUUCAACCAUUUUUAUCUAUUAAAUUAUACUAUUAAAAUUAAAUAAUCACUCACUCAACUCUAGAGGAUCACUAUCAUUCCGACCGCGUAUUUUUUAAUCCAAGAACCGAAAACCUACAAACACCAAUGAUUUGAAACUUUUGAAAAAUAAGAGCUUAAUAUUAUAUAUAGAGAGAGAGAGAGUUGAGCUGGAAUACUAUUAAUAGUAUUUGGGCUCUUUUGCUAUUAUUUUUUUUGUCGUUAGAUCUACACUUUAAUUAAUUCCACCUUUUAAAUCAUAUUAUUCAACCAGUCGCCUACUCAACUCUAAGAGGACCACCACUAAACGUUAGGGCACCACUAUUAUCCUAACCCUAUAAUUUUUCACCCAAGCGUUAAAAUCUCGAUAACAAAAUAGACCAAACACUAUUAAUAGUAUUCCAGCCUAAUUCUAUAAAAUAUAUAGAGAGAGAGAGAGAAAAAAAGAGAGUUGUGCUAGAAUACUAUUAAUAUUAUUAUUUGGAUUUUUUUACGACUAAGUUUAUAAUCCUUAAUUAAAAAAUUAUAGAGUUGGGACGAUAGAAUUCCUGUAGGGUUUAAUGAUACUGCCCCUAGAGUUUAGUAGGUGAUUGAUAGAAUAGCAUAAUCUAACGUGGGGACGGCGGGUUUGUUUAGCGGAUAGAAAAUCUGCUGCUGUAGAGGAGGUGGAGGGCGAAGGCGGAGGAAGAGGAUGCGGUACCAUCCUUGCUAUCGUCGCGGAGGGUCGCAGAGACGAUGGAGGAAGGUCGGAGAGGGAAAAAAAAAAAAGAGGGUCGCGACGCGGCGUUGACGAGGUCGGAGGCGAGGCGUGAGGGGCAGAAGCGAGGCGGGCCGUUUCCGCCUCCACCUUCGCCGCCUUCUUCGGAGAGGAAAAAAAAAACUCAAGAAAAGAAAAGGAGAGAGAGAAAAAGAUAUAAUGGUAUUUUGAUCAGUUUGCUGAAAAUCCGAACCGAUUAUGCAAAAUUGAAAAAGACGGUCUAGUUUUGCAAAAGCUCAAAACUUGUGAAUUUUUUAUGCAAAUUGGCCUAUAUAAAUAUACAUUAAAAAAAAUGUAAACUCCAAUUUACCCUUAUGUGAUUUAGCUCAUUUUUAUUUUACCAUCAUAUAUAUAGUUCAAAAAAUUAAUUAUACUUAAUUAUCUUAUAAUUUAGCUCAUUUUUACUUUACUACUAUAUAAUUCAAAAAGUUAUACAUGUCAAAAAAAUUUACUAUAGUAUCCUUUUUUAUAGUAGAUUUUUUAGAUAAAGGAAGAGAUAAAAUUAUUCAGUAAUUAAGUAUAAUUUUUUAGAUUAUAGAAUGAUAAAAUAAAAGUGAGCUAAACAGUGAGGGAGCAAAUUGAAGUUUGCAUUUAAAGUAAAAGAAAAUAAUAGGUGGGCUCAUAAUUUUACGUAAAAAAGUACUUUUUUGGAAUUAUUAUAAGAAGGAGAAAAGAAGAAGCAACAAAGUUUUCCCAAAAAAAAAUGAAAGAAAAUAGCGAGAAGCAAAGCUGACCAAAUUGUAUUGCUAUAGUUUGACUGUUUUGUGGUGUAUAUAUAUACAUUAUAAAUAGCUAAUAAAACUAAAUAUUCUCUUCCACACAUUAUAAAUAGCUAAUAAAACUAAAUAUUUUCUUCCACGGAAGUGUCAUUUUUGGUUGCUUAUCCUAAACGAUAAGAAGUGCUUAUUUGGCAUUGCCACUAAAUAUAUAUUAUUUUAGUUUUUAAGAUAUAUAUAUAGAGCUAGGCUACUAUACUAUCGGUAGCACGGAGCGCUCCGUGCUAUCAAGUUGUUUUCGAUGAUGUGGCUUCCAAAUCGACGAUCGGCUCCGUUAGAGUUGAUCUACACUAUUGAAAGUAUUUAGAAAACUAAAUUUCAUAAUUUUUCGAUAUCAUUUACUUAUCAAACAAGUAGUCUAAAAUUGAACGGCUGAAAAUAAAAAUUUUAUGAAAAAUGAUGAUAAAAAAUUUAAAUUCAAGAUCAGAUGUACUGAUCUUACUCUAAAUAGUGAAAAGAAUUUUCUAUAAAAUUUUUAUUGCAUUUGGAUUGUUUUACACCGUUAAACUCACAAACACACCACAUCGGCCAUUAAAAUUGUCAAUUUUGAGAUCUUUUGAUCACUAGUAAAUAAUGUUCGAAAAAUCUGAAAUUUAGUUUCCAAUACUUUAAAUAGUGUAGAUCAAGUCUAAUGGAGUCGAUCGUCGAUUUGGAAGCCGCUAUCAUCGAAAACAACUUGGUAGCACGGAGCGCUCCGUGCUACCGAUAGCAUAGUAGCCGGACUCAUAUAGAGCUAGGCUACUAUACUAUCAGGUAGUGUGUAUAUAAAUAUAUAUAGUAUUAUAUAGUUGGACUGGCUACUAUUAGUAGCAAAAUCUCAUCGUUCUACCAGUUUUUUUAGCUUUUGAUCAACUCUUUUCAUUAUUUCUAACCAUUGGAUUAAAUACUUAUAACCAGUGGGACACUCAACCCUAGGGGGCCACUCAACUCAACCGACUAAUAUUAUUCUGACCCUACAAUUUUCAUCCAAGGGUUAAAACUUAAUAGCAAAAUGAGCAUAUUUACUAUUAAUAGUAUUUCAGCCUAAUUCUAUAUAUAUAUAUAUUAUAUAUAUAUAUAUAUAGUUGAACGUAGGUGCAACUGCACGUAACAAUUAUUUUAAUUUAUUUUUAAAUCAAUAAAUUAUUUGUAAAUCAUAUUUAUUAAAAAUUUAGAAUAAAAUAUUUCUAAAUUAUAUGUUACAUUUUAUUAGAAAAUAUCUACAAUAUUAAAUUUAAUUUUAAUAUAAAAUAGAUGGAUAAAUUUGAUAUCAAAAUCAAAAAUUAAAUUUAAUUCAAUUUAAACUAAUUUUAACUUUAUAUUAAAAUAAAUGUAUAGAAGUAUUUUAACAGAUUGAACAUAAUAGUUCAUUUUUAUUUUCAAUAUUUUAACCAAUUGAUUAUAACCGUUUCGUAGAAUUGAAGUUAUAGAAGUUAUAGAUAAUAUGAAUGUUUUUUUUAGCCAAUUAAUCAUAUAUUCGUUCUUAUUUUUGAUAAUUUUUUACAAAUUAAUCAUAUAAUUUGUAUAUCAUAUUAAUUCAAAAAUAUGAUUUACAAUUUAUCAACCAAUCUAUCUUUUAAAUUAUUUCCAUUGUAAUAUAUAGAUAGUAAAUUAAUUUUAAAUUUUGAAUUGAUAUAUAGAUUUGCAGUAGAUAUUCUGACAAAAUUUUGGAUAAGCAUGAAUUUUUUUCUCUUUUAGAGAUAAAAAAUUAAAUUAAAUUUUAAUUAAAAUUAGAUUCAAAAUAAAUAUCUUUCGGUUGGCAAAUAAAUUUGGAUAAGCGUAUCUCUUUUUUUUUAAUUUUAGAGAUAAAUAGAAAUUUAAAAAUUGUUUCCUUACGUUAUUUUUUUACGUAAGGAAAAGGAAUCAAUAUUUUUCAACCAAAAAUGGGUCUGUCGACGGACCUAAAUUUGAAUACGAGCUUUUAUAUAUAUAGUAAAAUGUAUGUAAAAUGCACGUAAUAAUUAUUAGAAGAAGUUAUAAUUUUUUAAUUAUUUUUUUAUUUUAGGCCAUUUUAUAUAAUUGCACAAUAUGUAUCUAAAAAUUUAAAAUAAUAAAUCACGCUAUUAAGAAAGAUAUGCUUUAAAUGAUAAAUAAUUAACAAUAAUCUCUAAUGCAAAAAUUACUUUUGAAAUUAAAUAGAAAAAUAAAAUCGUUAGGAAAUAAAUUUUUGAAAUUAAAUAGAAAAAUAAAUCCGUUAUCUUAAAAGAAAUAUAUUUUGAAAUUAAAUAGAUAAUAUCUAAAAAAGAUAUUUUAAAAUAAAUAGACAAAUAUCUUUUAUAGGAUUUCACACCCGUAAUCUGUUAUAGAAAACUUACUUUUGAAAUUAAAUAGAAAAUUUAUAUUUUAGGAUUUUCACAUCUCUAUCUGUUAUAGAGACACUUCGUAUUAUUACUGUUUUUUUUUCUAUUUUUAUUCUUAUAUUUAAAUUUUUCAUACGGAAGAGAAAAAUGGGCGCUAAUUUUUCCGCUGAAAAAUGGUCUGUCGACAGACCCAAAUUUGAAUAUACGUGCUUUUAUUAUUAUAUAUAAUAUAUAUAUAUAUAUAUAUAUAUAUAUAUAUAUUGAGAGAGAGAGAGAGAGAAUAGGCUGGAAUACUAUUAAAUAGCAUAAAUGACAUGGUGCUAUUAAGUUUUUCCGCCCUUGGAUUAAAAAUGUACGGUUAUGAUGAUGUGGGCCCCCAAGGGUUGAGUUGGUGGUUUGGUUGAAUAGUUAUAAUCUAAUGGGUAAAAAUAAUCAAAGGGAUUAAUCUAACGGCAAAAAAUUGAUAACAGCAAUACUUCCAAGUUGGUAUGCUUAUGGAAGCACGGAGCCCUCCGUGCUUCCAAGUUGUUUUCGAUGUUCGGACUUUCGAAUCGACGAUCGGCUCCGUUAGAGUUGAUCUAGAGUAUUUGAAGUACUAGAAAAUAAAUUUUGUGAUUUUUCAAUUCAUUUGCCUAGUGAUCGGAAGGGUUCAAAAUCAAUAUUUUAACGGCCGUGGUGACCGAUUGCAAGUUUAACGGUGUAGAAAUAUCCAAAUCACAUGAAAUUUUGAUAGAAAUUUUUUAUACCAUAUAAAACAAGAUCAAUAAGUUUAAUCUAAAAUUUUAAUGUCAUAUUCAUAUAUUUUGUAAGAUUUUUAUUUUCAUCCGUUGUGUUUGAGCCACUUCGAUCGCUAGGCAAAUGAUAUCAAAAAAUCGCAAAAUUUUUUUUUUAGUAUACUUCAAACUCUAGAUCAAGUCUAACGGAGCCGAUCGUCGAUUCGAAAGUCGAACAUCGAAAACAAAAGUUGGAGCACGGAGCCUUCCGUGCUUCCAUAAAGCAUCCUAGCCGCCACUCUAUAUAUAUAAUAUAUAUAUAUAAUAUAUAUAUAUAUAUAUUAUAUAUAUAUAUAUACUAUAUAUAAAGAGAGAGAGAGAGAGAGUUUUUGCUAGAAUACUAUCGGUAGUAAACGGCUCGGUUUACUACCGAUUUGUUUUAGAUGAUAGAGCUUCCAAAUUGAUGAUCAGCACCGUUAAAUAUGAUUUAAACUAUUUAAACUAUCUGGAAAUCAAAUUUCACACAUUUUCGAUAUUGUUCUCUUGUCCAUCAAGUGACAGAAAAAUGAAUGGCUGGAAAUGAAUAUCCUUCAAAAAGUGAUGAUACAAUUUUUAUAUUUGAGAUAUAGAGUCUAAAAAUCUUAUCUUUUAAAUAGUUUAAAGAAUUUUUUUACAAAAUUUAGUUGAUUUGAACUCCUUCUAUACCGUUUAAACAAGCAAACGAUCUAUAUCGGCCAUUAAAAUUAUAGAUUUUUGUGACAAUUUGAUCGUUUGGUUAGUGAUGCAAAAACUCAUGAAAUUUGAUUUCUAGAUAAUUUAAAU
This 8677-nucleotide long non-coding RNA is filed under the name Ananas comosus (pineapple). RNAcentral's name for it is "long non-coding RNA (ACOM_LNC006728)". The record is from RNAcentral. Lineage: Eukaryota; Viridiplantae; Streptophyta; Magnoliopsida; Poales; Bromeliaceae.